UGGAUGCUACUAGUUCUGCCUUUAUACAUGAACAGUUUCCCCUGCCUAUAUGUUUUGCCUCCUUCUCUGGUUUGUUGGGCAAUGAUGUAGGCCGGCCUGGUUUCUU
Molecule: microRNA precursor, 106 nt
Filed under: Salicornia europaea (common glasswort)
Lineage: Eukaryota; Viridiplantae; Streptophyta; Magnoliopsida; Caryophyllales; Amaranthaceae
Description: miR11026 stem-loop (seu-MIR11026)
Source: miRBase by way of RNAcentral